Paramuricea clavata is the source of this 278-nucleotide non-coding RNA. Lineage: Eukaryota; Metazoa; Cnidaria; Anthozoa; Malacalcyonacea; Plexauridae. The record is from the annotation of a GenBank genome assembly.
UGGAUCACUCAAGCUCUCCAAUAUUUAUUGCAAUCCAUAUGAUGACAGACUACAAAUCUCAACAAACGACGUCUUUGUAAAUGCACACACAAAUUUUUAUCACUUUAUAAAACAGAAUACAUCCAGGAAAUCAAUUAGACGUGCAUGCUUUACAGUAUAUGCCUAGUCAACUAGCUAUUUAAAGUUUUACCAUAAAAAGAGCCACAAAACGAAUUGCAUGCAUAUAUUAUAUAAUCCGGGCAAAAAUUUGUCUGCAUGGAAGUCGUUCAAGGGAAACA